UACAGAGGUCCCAAGCGUUGUUCGGAUUCACUGGGCGUAAAGGGUGCGCAGGUGGGUUGGCAAGUUCGAUGUGAAAGCCCCGGGCUUAACCCGGGAAUGGCAUUGGAAACUGCUGAUCUGGAGGAUCGGAGGGGGGACUGGAAUUCUUGGUGUAGCAGUGAAAUGCGUAGAUAUCAAGAGGAACACCAGUGGCGAAGGCGAGUCCCUGGACGAUACCUGACACUGAGGCACGAAAGCCAAGGGAGCAAACGGG
RNAcentral lists this ribosomal RNA (253 nucleotides) under uncultured bacterium. RNAcentral describes it as "partial 16S ribosomal RNA". It matches the Rfam family "Bacterial small subunit ribosomal RNA", at positions 524 to 776 of the family's 1533-position model. The record is from RNAcentral.